This 253-nucleotide ribosomal RNA is filed under the name uncultured bacterium. Its description in RNAcentral is "partial 16S ribosomal RNA". It matches the Rfam family "Bacterial small subunit ribosomal RNA", at positions 524 to 776 of the family's 1533-position model. The record is from RNAcentral.
UACGUAGGGUGCGAGCGUUGUCCGGAAUUACUGGGCGUAAAGAGCUCGUAGGCGGUUUGUCGCGUUGUUCGUGAAAACUCACAACUCAAUUGUGGGCGUGCGGGCGAUACGGGCAGACUGGAGUACUGCAGGGGAGACUGGAAUUCCUGGUGUAGCGGUGGAAUGCGCAGAUAUCAGGAGGAACACCGGUGGCGAAGGCGGGUCUCUGGGCCGAUACUGACGCUGAGGAGCGAAAGCGUGGGGAGCGAACAGG